RNAcentral lists this ribosomal RNA (497 nucleotides) under uncultured bacterium. RNAcentral's name for it is "partial 16S ribosomal RNA". It matches the Rfam family "Bacterial small subunit ribosomal RNA", at positions 28 to 507 of the family's 1533-position model. The record is from RNAcentral.
GAUGAACGCUGGCGGCGUGCCUAAUACAUGCAAGUCGAGCGAACAGACGAGGAGCUUGCUCCUCUGACGUUAGCGGCGGACGGGUGAGUAACACGUGGAUAACCUACCUAUAAGACUGGGAUAACUUCGGGAAACCGGAGCUAAUACCGGAUAAUAUAUUGAACCGCAUGGUUCAAUAGUGAAAGACGGUUUUGCUGUCACUUAUAGAUGGAUCCGCGCCGCAUUAGCUAGUUGGUAAGGUAACGGCUUACCAAGGCGACGAUGCGUAGCCGACCUGAGAGGCUGAUCGGCCACACUGGAACUUAGACACGGUCCAUGCUCCUACGGGACGCAGCAGUAUGGAAUCGUCCGCAAUGGGCGAAAGCCUGACGGAGCAACGCCGCGUGAGUUAUGAAGGUCUUCGGAUCGUAAAACUCUGUUAUUAGGGAAGAACAAAUGUGUAAGUAACUAUGCACGUCUUGACGGUACCUAAUCAGAAAGCCACGGCUAACUACGUG